UACGUGGGCGCAAGCGUUGUCCGGAAUUAUUGGGCGUAAAGAGCUCGUAGGCGGUUUGUCGCGUCUGCUGUGAAAGCCCGGGGCUCAACCCCGGGUCUGCAGUGGGUACGGGCAGACUAGAGUGCAGUAGGGGAGACUGGAAUUCCUGGUGUAGCGGUGAAAUGCGCAGAUAUCAGGAGGAACACCGAUGGCAAGGCGGUCUCUGGCUGUUACUGACGCUGAGGAGCGAAAGCAUGGGGAGCGAACAGGAUUAGAUACCCGUGUAUCC
This 268-nucleotide ribosomal RNA is filed under the name uncultured bacterium. Its description in RNAcentral is "partial 16S ribosomal RNA". It matches the Rfam family "Bacterial small subunit ribosomal RNA", at positions 524 to 795 of the family's 1533-position model. The record is from RNAcentral.